AGAGUGAACGCUGGCGGCAGGCCUAACACAUGCAAGUCGAACGGCAGCACAGGGGAGCUUGCUCCCUGGGUGGCGAGUGGCGGACGGGUGAGGACAACGUCGGAAUCUGCCUUUUUGUGGGGGAUAACGUAGGGAAACUUACGCUAAUACCGCAUACCGACCCGGGCCGGGAGGUUCGGGGUGAAAGCGGAGGACCUUCGGGCUUCGCGCAGAAAGAUGAGCCGACGUCGGAUUAGCUAGUUGGUGGGGUAAAGCCCACCAAGGCGACGAUCCGUAGCUGGUCUGAGAGGAUGAUCAGCCACACUGGAACUGAGACACGGUCCAGACUCCGUACGGGAGGCAGCGAGUGGGGGAAUAGUUAGGAACAAGUCGGGCGCGUAAAGCCCUGACUCCAGCCAAGUCGCCCGCGGU
Molecule: ribosomal RNA, 411 nt
Filed under: uncultured soil bacterium
Lineage: Bacteria
Description: bacterial SSU rRNA
Rfam family: Bacterial small subunit ribosomal RNA
Source: RNAcentral